RNAcentral lists this long non-coding RNA (2095 nucleotides) under Prunus persica (peach). RNAcentral's name for it is "long non-coding RNA (PPER_LNC004058)". Lineage: Eukaryota; Viridiplantae; Streptophyta; Magnoliopsida; Rosales; Rosaceae. The record is from RNAcentral.
CGAGCCAAAACUGCAUAAGGCACCAAACGCUCCUUUGCCUGCACGAGCCAAAACUGCACAAGGCACCAAACGCUCCUUCGCCUGCACGAGCCAAAACUGCACAAGGCACCAAACGCUCCUUCGCCAGCACGAGCCAAAAUUGCAUAAGGCACCAAACGCUCCUUUGCCUGCACGAGCCAAAACUGCACAAGGCACCAAACGCUCCUUCGCCUGCACGAGCCAAAACUGCACAAGGCACCAAAUGCUCAUUCGCCUGCACGAGCCAAAACUGCAUAAGGCACCAAAAUGCUCCUUUGCCUGCAAGAGCCUAAACUGCACAAGGCACUAAUUGCUCAUUUGCCUGCACAAGUCAAAAAUGCACAAGGCACCAAACGCUCCUUCGCCUGCACGAGCCUAAACUGCACAAAGCACCAAUUGCUCCUUCGUUCGCCUGCACGAGCCUAAACUGCACAAAGCACCAAAUGCUCCUUCGUUCGCCUGCACGAGCCUAAACUGCACAAGGCACCAAAUGCUCAUUUGCCUGCACGAGCUGAAACUGCACGAUGCACCAAGUGUUCAUUCGCCUGCAAGAGCCAAAAAUGCACAAGGCACCAAAUGCUCACUCGCUUGCAUGAGCCAAAACUGCAAACUAAAAAAAAAAAAAAAAAGAAGGUCUCUUUGGGAAAGUAUCUGUGCUCGAUCAAGUUGGGCGUCCUCCAAUACGUAAAGCCUAAGCGCUUGAGUGGGUUAUCACCAAGUCAGAGAGAUGGAUCAAACCCAAGCGGUAUAGGACGUCUACGUUCUUUACUCGUCCUCCAUUUACGUAAAGCCUAAGCGCUUGAGCGGGUUAUCACCAAGUCGGAGAGAUGGAUCAAACCCAAGCGGUAUAGGACGUCUACGUUCUUCACUCGUCCUCCACUUACGUAAAGCCUAAGCGCUUGAACGGGUUAUCACCAAGUCGGAGAGAUGGAUCAAACCCAAGCGGUAUAGGACGUCUACGUUCUUCACUCGUCCUCCAUUUACGUAAAGCCUAAGCGCUUGAGCGGGUUAUCACCAAGUAGGAGAGAUGGAUCAAACCCAAGCGGUAUAGGACGUCUACGUUCUUCACUCGUCCUCCACUUACGUAAAGCCUAAGCGCUUGAACGGGUUAUCACCAAGUCGGAGAGAUGGAUCAAACCCAAGCGGUAUAGGACGUCUACGUUCUUCACUCAUCCUCCACUUACGUAAAGCCUAAGCGCUUGAGCGGGUUAUCACCAAGUCGGAGAGAUGGAUCAAACCCAAGCGGUAUAGGACGUCUACGUUCUUCACUUGUCCUCCACUGACGUAAAGCCUAAGCGCUUGAAUGGGUUAUCACCAAGUCAGAGAGAUGGAUCAAACCCAAGCGGUAUAGGACGUCUACGUUCUUCACUCAUCCUCCACUUACGUAAAGCCUACGCGCUUGAGCGGGUUAUCACCAAGUCGGAGAGAUGGAUCAAACCCAAGCGGUAUAGGACGUCUACGUUCUUCACUUUCUUUUGAAGCACCUAAAAAAAAAAAAAGAGGACGACGCAAGCACAGCAAUAGUAUGCCAAUAUUGAGUUUGAUGUUGCAUGGUGGGAGUGCACCCAAAAUAGAAGAUAAAAAAAAAAGAAAAAAAAAAGAAAAAAAAAAUAGAUGAAGAAGGAGAAGAAGACGCCGGCACAAAGAAAGAAUAACAUGCCAAGGGUAGGUUCUUGUGGCUAGAAGAAAGAAGAAAAAUAAUAAAAAAAAUUGACAAGAACAUGAUGAAACAAAGAAUGGGUUCAAGCCUACCAACAAGCAACUCUCACCACUUUGGUUGUUGAGAAUUCGGAUGAUGCAAACUUCAAAGUCGUAGACCUUCUUGCCAACAAGAGGAGUUUUUCUGCUGUUCUAUUUGGUUGAUCUCAAUAUUCAUGAACACAGUGCAAUUUAAAGAAACCAAAGACCAUCAAAGCUCCUAGUAGGGUUUCUCAUUCCUAGUUUAGGAAAGUAUGAGAUUUUGUAUCUUGCUUCCCAAGAUCUUACCAACAUUGGAUAUUAUUAAGCUUAAUAAUAUCACAAAAAAAAAAAAAAAAAAAAAGGGGAAACCAACGUUGGAAAUAGGUUAGAUAUUCUC